GGGAAGUGGAGUCAGACAGGAGCCCUACCGAGGCUCCAGCCAUGCCCACAGCUACACGUGGGCCACAGACGGCUGAACCACACGGACAUACCAGCACAGGCACAAUGUCACCUGUCCCAUCUGGGAGAACAGGAACCCCUUCUCUCUCACGGUUGUACUCCCAGAAAGGAACUCAAUUCCCAGCACAUUGCAGAUGCGCACUAAUAUUUGGCUGCUGACACCACUCGAGGAAACCAGCCAGCCUUGGGGGCUCUGACGCUGGAUGCAGCCCUCCCAGGAAAUAGCUCCACUGGCUGCAGUAACUGGAGGCUCCUGAGCCACAUUUCAGCCUGCAGUGGGUGGUGGGUGGGCCCCAGCCCAACUGCUGCCCUGCCCCAGGAAGAAGCAGGCCCGUCAAAAUGUCUGACCCCAUCCGUCCCCCUAUCCCCUCCCCUGCCCCAGUCUGUCCUCAGUCCUGAUCCCCCUGCCCGCCCCA
RNAcentral lists this long non-coding RNA (475 nucleotides) under Pan troglodytes (chimpanzee). Its description in RNAcentral is "long non-coding RNA NONPTRT001013". The record is from RNAcentral. Lineage: Eukaryota; Metazoa; Chordata; Mammalia; Primates; Hominidae.